ACCUCGGUAGUUUAAUGGAUCAGCACGACAGACCAGAUAUCUGUAAGUGCGAGUUCGAGUCCUGCCUGAGGUU
Molecule: transfer RNA, 73 nt
Filed under: Dictyocaulus viviparus (bovine lungworm)
Lineage: Eukaryota; Metazoa; Nematoda; Chromadorea; Rhabditida; Metastrongylidae
Rfam family: tRNA
About the family: Transfer RNA (tRNA) molecules are approximately 80 nucleotides in length. Their secondary structure includes four short double-helical elements and three loops (D, anti-codon, and T loops). Further hydrogen bonds mediate the characteristic L-shaped molecular structure. tRNAs have two regions of fundamental functional importance: the anti-codon, which is responsible for specific mRNA codon recognition, and the 3' end, to which the tRNAs corresponding amino acid is attached (by aminoacyl-tRNA synthetases). tRNAs cope with the degeneracy of the genetic code in two manners: having more than one tRNA (with a specific anti-codon) for a particular amino acid; and 'wobble' base-pairing, i.e. permitting non-standard base-pairing at the 3rd anti-codon position.
Source: Rfam by way of RNAcentral